This 516-nucleotide unclassified non-coding RNA is filed under the name uncultured Glomus. RNAcentral describes it as "SSU rRNA". It matches the Rfam family "Eukaryotic small subunit ribosomal RNA", at positions 569 to 1088 of the family's 1831-position model. The record is from RNAcentral. Lineage: Eukaryota; Fungi; Glomeromycota; Glomeromycetes; Glomerales; Glomeraceae.
CGCAGCCGCGGUAAUUCCAGCUCCAAUAGCGUAUAUUAAAGUUGCUGCAGUUAAAAAGCUCGUAGUUGAAUUUCGGGAUCAAUAUGUUGGUCGUGCCUCGGUACGUACUGGCUUAUUGGUUUCUCCCUUCUGACGAACCAUGAUGUCAUUUAUUUGGUGUUAUGAGGAAUCAGGACUGUUACUUUGAAAAAUUAGAGUGUUUAAAGCAGGCUCACGCUUGAAUACAUUAGCAUGGAAUAAUGAAAUAGGACGUUUGAUUCUAUUUUGUUGGUUUCUAGGAUCGACGUAAUGAUUAAUAGGGAUAGUUGGGGGCAUUAGUAUUCAAUUGUCAGAGGUGAAAUUCUUGGAUUUAUUGAAGACUAACUACUGCGAAAGCAUUUGCCAAGGAUGUUUUCAUUAAUCAAGAACGAAAGUUAGGGGAUCGAAGACGAUCAGAUACCGUCGUAGUCUUAACCAUAAACUAUGCCGACUAGGGAUCGGAUGAUGUAAUUUUUUAAUGUACUCAUUCGCGUACCG